This 1562-nucleotide long non-coding RNA is filed under the name Hordeum vulgare. RNAcentral describes it as "long non-coding RNA (HVUL_LNC007662)". The record is from RNAcentral. Lineage: Eukaryota; Viridiplantae; Streptophyta; Magnoliopsida; Poales; Poaceae.
CCGUACUCCAUAAGCCAUUGUACAAUCUCGCCAUUCUACCAACGUCGAUGGACUGCCCGUGCUCCAUGCGAGGUAUGCCUGAUCUCAUGCACAUCUAAAUUCGGUUCUGUCAUUAUGAAAAAGACAUAUCUUUCACGUGUGUCUACAGCCGCAACUGCUAUCAUCAUCACCUUGCCGAUAUACAGCCAGUCUGCACUCUUUAAGCCUGAUAAAUUCACCAUAAAGUAGGCUAUCUCGAGAAAAAAAAUAUGCACACUAGAGAGUACUUCAUAGUGGCUCAUGGUAGUUCCAAUGUCUAGAGAAAGUAACUAUCCAAUGUUAUACAUGAAAGAGUUGACUGGAGCUGCCGCAAGAUCUUGUGCUUUGUACGCGGAAAGUUUUCUUGAGUUCACUUUUCCAAAGCUAGCAGCAGUACUUGAUGCUGAAAUACCAAUCUGACAUAAAGAGAUAGAGUCUUUGUUAUUAAAGGGCAAUCAACCAUCAUCGUUGUCGUCGUGAUGGUUCAACUCGCCUCCCCUCCCUCGCUCGCUCUCCCUCGUGCUUAUGGCUGCCGGUCACUUUCCUGAGAGCUCACCUUGGUCCUCCUCUACCAUGCGCCCACCUCCUCGCCCAAGCACCGCACACACAUAGAUUACGGUAUCAGCCGCGUCGACGAGGACAAUGGGGUCGGGGACCUGGACCUCGAUCUCGGUCAUCCCGCUCAUCUUUGGCAUGUACAAAAUCUAUGCGAACGCCACAUCAGACUAGGAUAGGUCAGAUAACAACAGCGUGUGCUCAUGGCUAGCUCAUCCCGAGUAUUUUCUGUAUGACGUCCCGCCGCCGUUGUGUGUGCUGACGCUGACGCUGUACUCAACAUGUUCUUCAGCAAAGGAACGAGGAAGACCGACGUCACCUAUCGCCCCGUCCUGUCUAGGAUCUACAUCCUCUCCUCCAAGGCUCCAACUACGUCCUCAAUGAACCAAACCAAACCGCUACCAGUACACACCAAACACCAUGUGGGUAACGAACCUUUCUAUUCGGUGAUGCAAGCUGCGUUCAAUGGAACCACUCUUCCAGCAGGAAAAUUUCCAUCCCUGUCUCUUUAUAUGCCUUGUUGUAUUUUUUACAUCAUUGUCUUCUUUUUACAAUGCUUCUCUUUGUUUCUAUCACUUUAUGAUGAUGUAACCUGCUGUUGUUGUAUCAAUAAAAGUGAUUUGCUAAUUUUGGAAUAAAACUAUCAUGUGUGCAGUUUCUUGUAUGGUAGAAGAUAGAUAGAAUUGACUUUGUGUAUGUUUGGAUUGUUGUUUGGAUUUUGAUGUUGCAGGGGCUAUUUCCUUCCUGGUGAGACUGGCUUGUUUGUGUAUUCCCUCUUAAUGAUGAUCUUCCUGUAUGUACGGAUUAUUAGUAAGUGACGUGUCAAGCUUUAUGACUUGAUUUAUUAGUUGUAGGAGCACUAUAUCUUUGAUAAUUCAUUCACUCGGUUUAUUGUGUGCUACAUGAAAAGUAACUAAAGAAAAUAAAGAAAACCGAUUUAUAUAAUAACUAUUAAGUUGAUGUAAUCAAUGAUGUUUUCUCUUUGUUCC